RNAcentral lists this transfer RNA (59 nucleotides) under Apaloderma vittatum (bar-tailed trogon). It matches the Rfam family "tRNA", at positions 8 to 63 of the family's 71-position model. From Rfam's summary of the family: Transfer RNA (tRNA) molecules are approximately 80 nucleotides in length. Lineage: Eukaryota; Metazoa; Chordata; Aves; Trogoniformes; Trogonidae. The record is from Rfam by way of RNAcentral.
UAGCUCAGUCAGUUAGAGUGUGGUGCUGAUAACACCAAGGUCGCGGGUUCGAUCCCCGU